Molecule: ribosomal RNA, 1846 nt
Filed under: Sphingomonas sp. PsM26
Lineage: Bacteria; Pseudomonadati; Pseudomonadota; Alphaproteobacteria; Sphingomonadales; Sphingomonadaceae
Description: partial 23S ribosomal RNA
Rfam family: Bacterial large subunit ribosomal RNA
Source: RNAcentral
UCUCAAGCGUGAGGUAAGGGCAAUUCGUGGAUGCCUUGGCGCAUACAGGCGAUGAAGGACGUGGCACGCUGCGAUAAGCUGCGGUGAGGUGUGAGCAACCUUUGACCCGCAGAUUUCCGAAUGGGGAAACCCACCUAUCCCGUUUAACUUGACCGUCCCUGGCAACAGGGUCGGGCAAGCUAAAUGGGGUUAGGUAUCACUUAAGUGAAUACAUAGCUUUCGUGAAGCGAACCCGGCGAACUGAAACAUCUCAGUAGCUGGAGGAAAAGACAUCAACCGAGAUUCCGUUAGUAGUGGCGAGCGAACGCGGACCAGGCCAGUGCCUGGAGUUCAACUAGCAGAAGCCUUUGGAAAGAGGCGCCAUAGCGGGUGACAGCCCCGUAUGCGAAAGUGAGACUUCAGGACAUGAGUAGGGCGGAACACGUGUAAUUCUGUCUGAACAUAGGGGGACCACCCUCUAAGCCUAAAUACUCGUAUGCGACCGAUAGUGAACUAGUACCGUGAGGGAAAGCUGAAAAGCACCCCGAUGAGGGGAGUGAAACAGUACCUGAAACGGAUUGCCUACAAGCAGUUGGAGGGUCCUUGAGGCCUGACAGCGUACCUCUUGCAUAAUGGGUCUGUGACUUAAUGUAUCAAGCAAGCUUAAGCCGUUAGGUGUAGGCGCAGCGAAAGCGAGUCUGAAUAGGGCGCCAGAGUUUGAUGUAUUAGACCCGAAACCCGGCGAUCUAUGCAUGACCAGGAUGAAGGUGCAGUAACAUGCACUGGAGGUCCGAACCGAUUAACGUUGAAAAGUUACCGGAUGAGUUGUGCUUAGGGGUGAAAGGCCAAUCAAGCCGGGAAAUAGCUGGUUCUCCGCGAAAACUAUUGAGGUAGUGCCUCGGAUGGACACCCUAGGGGGUAGAGCACUGGAUGGUUGCGGGGGUCGCGAGACCUACCAACACUAACCAAACUCCGAAUACCUAGGAGUGAUAUCCGGGAGACAGACGGCGGGUGCUAAGGUCCGUCGUCAAAAGGGAAACAGCCCUGACCUACAGCUAAGGUCCCCAAGUCGUGUCUAAGUGGGAAAGCAUGUGGAACUUCCAAAACAACCAGGAGGUUGGCUUAGAAGCAGCCAUCCUUUAAAGAAAGCGUAACAGCUCACUGGUCUAAUCAAGAGGUUCUGCGGCGAAGAUGUAACGGGGCUCAAGACACGCACCGAAGCUUAGGGUGUGCGCUUUAUAGCGUACGCGGUAGCGGAGCGUUCCGUAAGCCUGUGAAGCGAUCUGGUAAUGGGUCGUGGAGGUAUCGGAAGUGCGAAUGCAGACAUGAGUAGCGAUAAAAAGGGUGAGAUGCCCUUUCGCCGAAAGACCAAGGGUUCCUGCGCAAGGCUAAUCCGCGCAGGGUGAGCCGGCCCCUAAGACGAGCCCGAAGGGGGUAGUCGAUGGGAACCACGUUAAUAUUCGUGGGCCUGGUGGUGUGUGACGGAUCUCGUGUGUUGUCGUCCCUUAUCGGAUUGGGACGGCCUCGAAGAGGUCCCGGGAAAUAGCCCCACCGUAUAGACCGUACCCGAAACCGACACAGGUGGUCAGGUAGAGUAUACCAAGGCGCUUGAGAGAAGUGUCCUGAAGGAACUCGGCAAAUUGCCUCCGUACCUUCGGAAGAAGGAGGCCCAACAUAGGCGCAAGCUCUUGUUGGGGGCACAGGCCAGGGGGUAGCGACUGUUUAGCAAAAACACAGGGCUCUGCUAAGUCGGCUUCAAGACGACGUAUAGGGCCUGACGCCUGCCCGGUGCCUGAAGGUUAAGUGGAGGGGUGCAAGCUCUGAAAUGAAGCCCAGGUAAACGUCGGCCGUAACAAUAACGGUCCUA